GACGAACGCUGGCGGCGUGCUUAACACAUGCAAGUCGAGCGGUAAGGCCCUUUCGGGGGUACACGAGCGGCGAACGGGUGAGUAACACGUGGGUGACCUGCCCUCAGCUCUGGGAUAAGCCUGGGAAACCGGGUCUAAUACUGGAUAUGACUCCAUGACGCAUGUUGUGGGGUGGAAAGCCUUGUGCGGCUGAGGAUGGGCCCGCGGCCUAUCAGCUUGUUGGUGGGGGAUGGCCUACCAAGGCGACGACGGGUAGCCGGCCUGAGAGGGCGACCGGCCACACUGGGACUGAGACACGGCCCAGACUCCUACGGGAGGCAGCAGUGGGGAAUCUUGCGCAAUGGGCGAAAGCCUGACGCAGCGACGCCGCGUGAGGGAUGACGG
This 384-nucleotide ribosomal RNA is filed under the name uncultured bacterium. Its description in RNAcentral is "bacterial SSU rRNA". It matches the Rfam family "Bacterial small subunit ribosomal RNA", at positions 28 to 414 of the family's 1533-position model. The record is from RNAcentral.